RNAcentral lists this small nuclear RNA (22 nucleotides) under Arabidopsis thaliana (thale cress). RNAcentral's name for it is "snRNA_05138". The record is from RNAcentral. Lineage: Eukaryota; Viridiplantae; Streptophyta; Magnoliopsida; Brassicales; Brassicaceae.
CCCCAAAAUAUAUGAGACUCUU